RNAcentral lists this long non-coding RNA (4288 nucleotides) under Homo sapiens (human). RNAcentral describes it as "HSALNT0228563". The record is from RNAcentral. Lineage: Eukaryota; Metazoa; Chordata; Mammalia; Primates; Hominidae.
AGCCCCUGCAGUUGCCCUGCAUGUAAUUGGACAGGGGACUUUCGCAGGAUGUCAGUUCCAGGAGGGCAAGGAUGAUCACCUGUUUUGUUCACCACUAUAUCCUCAGUGCCUACAAUAUAUCUGGGAAAUAACCGUAUUCAAUAAAUACUGAAGGAAUGAAGUUUCCAAUGAUCAGCACAGUGCAAGAAGAUGAAUUUAGCACCAGUUUUGGUGUCAAGCUUGGUCUCAAAUCCAGUCUUCACCACUUACCAGUUGUGUGACCUUGGGCAAAUGAUCUAACCUUUCUGACACCUACGUGCUUCAUAUACAAGAUGGGGACAAGGUUUUCAAGUGCCGUGCCUGAAACACAGGUGCUUGAUAAAUGGCCUUUGUUAUCAUCACCAUUGUUGUCAUUAUCAUCACCAUAACCAUCAUCACCAGCACCAUCAUCACCACUGUCAUCACCAUCACCAUAACAAUCAUCGUCACCAGCACCAUCAUCACCAUUGUCAUUAUCAUCAGCAUAGUUAAUAAUCAUUAUUACCAGUACCAUCAUUGCCAUUGUCAUCAUCACCAUCAUAACAAUUAUCACCAGCACCAUCAUCGCCAUUGUCAUCAUCAUCACCAUAGUUAAUAAUCAUGAUCACCAGUACCAUCAUCACCAUUGUCAUCAUCAUCAUAAUCGUCAUCACCAGCACCAUCAUCGAAAUUGUCAUCAUCACCAUAGUUAAUCAUCAUCAUCAUUAGCACCAUCAUCGCCAUUGUCAUCAUCACCACUAUAAUUAAUAAUCAUUACCAUCACCAUCAUCACCAUUGUCAUCAUCAUCAUCAUCUUCAUCAUUAUUCCAUCCACAUUACCGUCUCCACAUCAUGCUCACCAUCAUCAUCUAACCUACUCCUAGGACAGAAUCUUGUCACCUCUGCCUUAGGGACAAGUGAUAAAGGACCCUAGACAGCUCCUAAUCUUAUCUUGACCUCUCUCCACUAAUGGUAGUGAGUCCUUCUCUCCUUGAUUCAUUCAAGUUAAUGUGGAUGGAGAAAAUUAUGGGCCAAAGGAAAUCUCAUUCAUUCAUCUAUUCAUUCAUUUAACAUCUAUGGAAGCCUACCAUGCUCCAAGCACAAUGCUGAAUGUUAGGAAUCAGGAGAUGAAUAAGAUUUGGCCCCCAACAUCAUGCAAUGUACACGAUGAAAAGCAGUUUUGAUACCAUAUAGCGAAUGCUGAGAGAGAGAGGUUAAAAAGAAGGCAGUGGGAGCAUAGGAAGGCCUCCCAGCCAGACUAAGUGGGAGUGAAGGUGGGUACAGCCUACCAAUGAGGGGCAUAAACUUCACAAUCCAGGUGAAGGAGUGUAGGAAGGAUACUAUGGAAGCUGCAAGUGCAAAGGCCCAGAGGCUGUAGCUGUGGGCUAGAUCAAGCAGAAGACCUUAGCUACUGAAUGACCUGAUCAGAUUUGCAUUUUAGAGGAAGUCUCUCUGGAUGCAUUGCAGGACAGCAUUGGAGAAGGCAGGGAGACCAUCUCAGAGGCUGCUGCAGUGGUUCAGGUGAGGAAUAAUGAGGCCUGAACCAAGGCAGUGGUGGUGGGAUGGGGAGAACAGAGAUUGCAAAGGGAUUUAGAAAGUGGCAUCCACAGGACGUGGUGAUGGAUUACAUGUGAGAGUAGAAGAAUCAAGAACAACCUUGAGGUUUCUGACUUUGAUACUGAGUGGAUGGUGGUACUUUCAGUGAAGGCAGGACAUAAGGAGCAGCAGAUUGUUGGGACCAAAUCAAAGAUGCUGAGGUCUGUCGUGGACAUGUGGCAAUGUCCACAUGUGGACAAUGUGGGACUGCAAAGAACAUUGAGAGGAAAGCUCCCCCAACCACUGGCUCUUGGCCUGGAGUUCUCAGAGAGAAGAGAAAGCUGGUCACCCAUUAAGGAUCUGAGACUGGGGUGGUCCCUGGGGGCAGUGUCUGAAAAUAAUCUCUUUUGCAAAGAGCCCAUUUACCCUUGAAGAAAGCUUUCAUAGUGCUUUCCCCAAGUGAUUUGUUUUUCCAAAGGCCACUUUAGAAGGCCGGCUAGUUUUUUUAAGAACUCAUUUUGAAUUUAAUUAUGUAUUGGCAGGAAUCAAAGAUGCAAAUGUAAUGAGAUUAAUUGAGUGUCCCUUUUAGAUAAGAAAAUUUCUGCUGUUGUUGAGUUCACUGCUUUGAAAUACCUGCUAGUGGAAAGGCUUUAGGUUUAAAGUAUGCAUGUUGGUUGUGUCAAAUGCAAUUCAAGAAUGUGAAAUUGAUUGGUUCCCUCUGUAGCCUCAGAUUUAGUGUCAGUUCUUAAGUCAUAAGAAUUAAAGAACCAUGAACUCACCCUUCUGCCCUGGUUAAAACAGAGCAGAGCCUUCUAUUCUCAUGUGGACUGGACAGGUUUCCCAGCCUUAUCCAUCCACUGCACCAUUUUUGGAAGGGGAAUGUGUUGAGGUGUGUUAUGUGUUUGUGUAAAUGUAUGGCUCUAAGCCUUUUAACACCUCCAUUGAGGGUCUCAGAUUAGAAAUUAGGGCUGCAGCAAAAGAGAUGGUUUGGAUGUUUUAUCUAUGUAAACCAUUAGUUUACCAAUUCCACAGCAAGUGGAGUGAGACUGCAAGUUUCUCUGCUCCUCCCUGUAAAAGUCACCAUGAAAUAGAUGCACAAGUGCUGGCCUGAAUUCUAGUGUGGAUGAGGGAUGUGCAGAACUAGCUGGAGGAGUCUUUCAGCAAAGUGGAAAUGCCUGCCGUGCUCACAGGCUCAUGUAAAGAAAAUGGCCUAGGCUGGAUUUCUCUUACAAGGUAUUGCUCGAAGGGCUUUGAAGUAAAAUCAAGCUGGCAUCCUGAAGAACAGCCUGAGUUAGAGGGAGGUCACAAGCUUGGAACUACAUUGAUGAAACUUCAAGCAACACGCAUGUUCAAUAUUGGAUGGAGGCAAAAAUGACCCAAUUGGACAUUCCUUGUGGGAACUAUAAAUGUUAACGGUAGAAAAAGAAGGUGAUUCAUGCUUCUAUGAAGUGGCAGCAUAACCUAGCAGGGGAGGCACCAGGACUCAGGGGGGCUGAGUUGUUGAUGCUCCCAUAUCCCCAAAUUUCCUCAUUUAAGUGGCACCACUCACAGAGUAUACCUCAAAUGAGAAGGACAAGGAUUGAGGAAGGAGCUUUGGAAGACCGAAUUUCUGGCAGGGGACAUAGACUCAAAUGUCAUGGGGGUAAAGCAGAGAGUGUGACAGUGUGAGGUUGGCUGGAUAGGAAUAUGGCAAAUUGAUAAGCAUGUUCUCUGACCACAAGGAAAAAUCACAACUCAGCUUCAGCCAAUUGUCACCUUGCAGGACUGUGGGCCAGAGCUUCCAGGUCUUCUGAUUUUUUGAAGAGCUGAUGCACAUUCAGUUUUAACUGUGACAUGUUUCAUUUCUUUUAAACACUGCAUGGGCCAGCUGCCAGCUCAUGGGCUCAGUUCCUGGGCUUCCUGUUAUAUCCUUAGUUUCAAUGUUAUGGGAAAGAGGAGGAGUCAUAGAAAAGAACUGUGAAAAAGGAGCCAGAGAGAUACACAGGAACCAGAAGAGACUGAGUUCACUGAAACCAGGCACUAGGGGGUCUUGGCAUGAAUAUGCAAAGAAGGUCAAGGAAGCUGGAACGUGCAGUGCAAUGCAAGAAGCAUAGCAGCCAUCUUGUGACCAUCAGUUUUAAUGUGUCAAGGAUGAGGGAGUCAGAAAAUAGAAGAAGCCUUGUCCCUGACACUGUGGAGUUGCUAUGUCAGGCAUUGACUUCCUGUCCCACCUCACAUAGUGUGUGAGAUCAACUCUUGGAGUAAGCCACCUGCUAUAGUUUGGUUAGUUCGACUUUCUUUAAAUGUCAUGUUGAAAUUUGUUCCCCAGUGUUAGAGUGGGGCCUAAUAGGAGGUGUUUGGGUCAUAGAGGUGGAUCCCUCAUGAAUGUUUUGAUGCUGUCACCAAGGUAACGAGUGAGUUCUCACUCUAUUAGUUUCUGCAAGAGCUGGUUGUUAAAAAGAGCCUGGCAGCCGCUGCUCCUCUCUCUUGUUCCCCUCUCACACAUGAUUGCUGCACACACCAGCUCCCCCUUCACCUUCCACCAUGAGUAGAAGCAGCUCGAACCUUUCAUCAGAUGCCCAACUUACAACCAGCAGAGUUGUGAACCAAAUAAAGCUUUAUUGUUUAUAAAUUACCCAGCCUCAGGUAUUCCUUUGUAGCAACACAAACAGACAAAGACAUCACCAUUAGCAGAUUCUUAAUUACUUGUAGUUGAACUCUGUCUUAACUGACACAGGGUUGAUGAACUGCAUUUGCCUCAGUGCCACAGGGUAAG